Molecule: long non-coding RNA, 4551 nt
Filed under: Salmo salar (Atlantic salmon)
Lineage: Eukaryota; Metazoa; Chordata; Actinopteri; Salmoniformes; Salmonidae
Description: lncRNA (ENSSSAG00000111193.1)
Source: RNAcentral
CCUGUCACUCGUCCUCUGGUGUUUAAUAACAGUGAUAUGACCCUGUCUCUUGUCCUCCUGGUGUUUUCAUUCAUUCAUUGCUAAUGGUAUUAGAACAGUAAAACAGUAGAACAGUAGAGAACUGUAGAGAACCGUAGAACAGUAGAGAACAGGAGAAUAGUAGUACAGUAGAACAGUAGUACAGUAGUACAGUACAACAGUAGAGAACAGUAGUACAGUAGAACAGUAGAGAAAAGUAGUACAGUAGAACAGUAGAACGGUAGAACAGUAGAACAGUAGAACAGUAGAGAACAGUAGAACAGUAGUACAGUAGAACAGUAGUACUGUAGAACAGUAGAGAACAGUAGAACAGUAGAGAACAGUAGAACAGUAGAGAACAGUAGAACAGUAGAACAGUAGAACAGUAGAGAACAGUAGUGCAGUAGAACAGUAGAACAGUAGAGAACAGUAGAGCAGUAGUAUAUAGUACUGUAGAACAGUAGAGAACAGUAGAACAGUAGAGAACAGUAGAACAGUAGAACAGUAGAACAGUAGAGAACAGUAGUGCAGUAGAACAGUAGAACAGUAGAGAACAGUAGAGCAGUAGUAUAGUAGAACAGUAGAUCAGUAGUACAGCAGAACAUUAGAACAGUAGAGAACAGUAGAACAGUAGAACAGUAGUACCGUAGAACAGUAGUACAGCAGAACAGCAGUACAGUAGUACAGUAGAACAGUAGAGAACAGUAGACAACAGUAGAAGAGUAGAACGGUAGAACAGUAGUACAGUAGUACAGUAGAACAGCAGAACGGUAGUACAGUAGAACAGCAGAACAGCAGUACAGUAGUACAGUAGAACAGUAGAACAGCAGAACAGCAGUACAGUAGUACAGUAGAACAGUAGAGAACAGUAGAACAGUAGUACAGUAGAACAGUAGAGAACAGUAGAACAGUAGAACAGUAGAACAGUAGAGAACAGUAGUACAGUAGAACAGUAGAGAACAGUAGAACAGUAGUACAGUAGAGCAGUAGAGAACAGUAGUACAGUAGAACAGUAGUACUGUAGAAUAGUAGAGAACAGUAGAACAGUGGAGAACAGUAGAACAGUAGAACAGUAAUACAGUAUUACAGUGAGAACAAUAGAACAGUAGUAUAUUAGAACAGUAGUACAGUAGAAGAGUAGAGAACAGUAGAACAGUAGAUCAGUAGAACAGUAGAAUAGUAGAACAGUGGAACAGUAGAACAGUAGAGAACAGUAGAAUAGUAGAACAGUGGAACAGUAGAACAGUAGAGAACAGUAGAAAACAGUUGUACUGUAGAACAGCAGAACAGCAGAACAGUAGUAUAGUUGAACAGUAGAGAACAGUAGAACAGUAUAACAGCAGAACAGUAGAACAGUAGUACAGUAGAACAGUAGAGAACAGUAGAGAACAGUAGAACAGCAGAACAGUAGAACAGUAGUACUGUAGUACAGUAGAGAACAGUAGUACAGCAGAACAGCAGUACAGUAGUACAGUAGAACAGUAGAGAACAAUGGAACAGUAGUAUAUUAGAACAGUAGUACAGUAGAACAGUAGAGAACAGUAGACAACAGUAGAAAACAGUAGAACAGUAGAACAGUAGAACAGCAGUACAGUAAUACAGUAGAACAGUAGAACAGCAGAACAGCAGUACAGUAGUACAGUAGUACAGUAGAACAGUAGAGAACAGUAGAACAGUAGUACAGUAGAACAGUAGAGAACAGUAGAACAGUAGAACAGUAGAACAGUAGAGAACAGUAGAACAGUAGUACAGUAGAACAGUAGAGAACAGUAGAACAGUAGUACAGUAGAACAGUAGAGAACACUAGUACUGUAGAACAGUAGUACUGUAGAAUAGUAGAGAACAGUAGAACAGUGGAGAACAGUAGAACAGUAGAACAGUAAUACAGUAGUACAGUGAGAACAAUAGAACAGUAGUAUAUUAGAACAGUAGUACAGUAGAAGAGUAGAGAACAGUAGAACAGUAGAUCAGUAGAACAGUAGAAUAGUAGAACAGUGGAACAGUGGAACAGUAGAGAACAGUAGAAUAGUAGAACAGUGGAACAGUAGAACAGUAGCGAACAGUAGAAAACAGUUGUACAGUAGAACAGCAGAACAGCAGUACAGUAGAACAGUAGUACAGUUGAACAGUAGAGAACAGUAGAACAGCAGAACAGUAGAACAGUAGUACAGUAGAACAGUAGAACAGUAGAGAACAGUAGAACAGCAGAACAGUAGAACAGUAGUACUGUAGUACAGUAGAGAACAGUAGUACAGCAGAACAGCAGUACAGUAGUACAGUAGAACAGUAGAGAACAAUGGAACAGUAGUAUAUUAGAACAGUAGAACAGUAGACAACAGUAGAAAACAGUAGAACAGUAGUACAGCAGAACAGUAGAACGGUAGAACGGUAGUAAAGUAGAGAACAGUAGAACAGUAGAGAACAGUGGAGAACAGUAGAACAGUAGUACAGUAGACCAGUAGAGAACAGUAGAACAGUAGAGAACAGUAGAGAACAGUAGAACAGUAGUACAGUAGAACAGUAGAAAACAGUAGAACAGUAGAGAACAGUAGAGAACAGUAGAACAGUAGUACAGUAGAACAGUAGAGAACAGUAGAACAUUAGUACAGUAGAACAGUAGAGAACAGUAGUACAGUAGAACAGUAGUACUGUAGAAUAGUAGAGAACAGUAGAACAGUGGAGAACAGUAGAACAGUAGAACAGUAAUACAGUAGUAUAGUAGAACAGUGAGAACAAUAGAACAGUAGUAUAUUAGAACAGUAGUACAGUAGAACAGUAGAGAACAGUAGAUCAGUAGAACAGUAGAGGACAGUAGAACAGUAGAUCAGUAGAUCAGUAGAACAGUAGAGAACAGUAGAACAGUAGAUCAGUAGAACAGUGGAACAGUAGAACAGUAGAGAACAGUAGAAAACAGUUGUACAGUAGAACAGCAGUACAGUAGAACAGUAGUACAGUUGAACAGUAGAGAACAGUAGAACAGUAGAACAGCAGAACAGUAGAACAGUAGUACAGUAGAACAGUAGAACAGUAGAGAACAGUAGAACAGUAGAACAGUAGUACUGUAGUACAGUAGAGAACAGUAGUACAGCAGAACAGCAGUACAGUAGUACAGUAGAACAGUAGAACAGUAGAGAACAAUAGAACAGUAGUAUAUUAGAACAGUAGUACAGUAGAACAGUAGAGAACAGUAGACAACAGUAGAAAACAGUAGAACAGUAGUACAGCAGAACAGUAGAACGGUAGAACGGUAGUACAGUAGUACAGUAGAACGGCAGAACCGUAGUACAGUAGAGAACAGUAGAACAGUAGAGAACAGUAGAACAGCAGAACAGCAGUACAGUAGUACAGUAGAACAGUAGAACAGUAGAGAACCGUAGAACAGCAGAACAGCAGUACAGUAGUACAGUAAAACAGUAGAACAGUAGAGAACAGUAGAGAACAGUAGAACAGUAGAACAGUAGAGAACAGUAGAGAACAGUAGAACAGUAGAGAACAGUAGUACAGUAGAACAGUAGUACUGUAGAAUAGUAGAGAACAGUAGAACAGUGGAGAACAGUAGAACAGUAGAACAGUAAAACAGUGAGAACAAUAGAACAGUAGUAUAUUAGAACAGUAGUACAGUAGAACAGUAGAGAACAGUAGACAACAGUAGAAAACAGUAGUACAGCAGAACAGUAGAACAGUAGUACAGUAGAGAACAGUAGAGAACAGUAGUACCGUAGAUCAGUAGAACAGUAGAGAACAGUAGAACAUUAGAUCAGUAGAUCAGUAGAACAGUAGAGAACAGUAGACCAGUAAACAGUAGAGAACAGUAGACCAGUAAACAGUAGAACAGUAGACCAGUAGAGAAUAGUAGAACAGUAAAACAGUAGAACAGUAGAGAACAGUAGAACAGUAGAACAGUAGAGAACAGUAGAACAGUAGACCAGUAGAGAACAGUAGAACAGUAGACCAGUAGAGAACAUUAGAACAGUAGAACAGUAGAGAACAGUAGAACAGUAGAGAACAGUAGAACAGUAAACAGUAGAACAGUAGACCAGUAGAGAACAGUAGAACAGUAGAACAGUAGAGAACAGUAGAGAACAGUAGAACAGUAGAACAGUAGAGAACAGUAGAACAGUAGAGAACGGUAGAACAGUAGAGAACAGUCUUCAGUCUGUUGGCUUGUCAUCAUCAUCAUCCCUCCCCAGUGACCUCCAGGUCUAUUUCUACGGAGACUGAGUGUACGUCCCAAAUGGCACCCUAUUCCCUAUUUAGUGCAUUCCUUUUGACCAUGGUCCAUAGGGCUCUGGUCAAAUGUAAUGCACUAUAUAGAGAAUAGGGUGCCAUUUGGGACACGUAGAGGUAAUUCUAUAGGGAGCAUCUGACCUCCCAUUGGCCCUGCACUCUAGGCCCUGCACAUACUUAAUUGACCAGGAGGACACUGUGUGUGUGUGGGUGGGGGGGUGUUUAGCUAAAUAUAUUUGACCUAAACCCCCCCUUUAAAAAAAAGUUCCCCUCCCCUAUACCAAAAAUUAUUAUUUAAUCAAAGUG